GCCUCCGUAGCUCAGCCUGGCAGAGCGUCUGUUUCGUAAACAGAAAGUCGGGGGUUCAAAUCCCUCCGGGGGCU
RNAcentral lists this transfer RNA (74 nucleotides) under Candidatus Micrarchaeota archaeon CG1_02_55_41. RNAcentral describes it as "tRNA-Thr". It matches the Rfam family "tRNA". From Rfam's summary of the family: Transfer RNA (tRNA) molecules are approximately 80 nucleotides in length. RNAcentral also lists the same sequence under 2 other names. The record is from RNAcentral. Lineage: Archaea; Nanobdellati; Microcaldota.